Molecule: ribosomal RNA, 638 nt
Filed under: Escherichia coli
Lineage: Bacteria; Pseudomonadati; Pseudomonadota; Gammaproteobacteria; Enterobacterales; Enterobacteriaceae
Description: partial 23S ribosomal RNA
Rfam family: Bacterial large subunit ribosomal RNA
Source: RNAcentral
GAGAAUGUUAUCACGGGAGACACACGGCGGGUGCUAACGUCCGUCGUGAAGAGGGAAACAACCCAGACCGCCAGCUAAGGUCCCAAAGUCAUGGUUAAGUGGGAAACGAUGUGGGAAGGCCCAGACAGCCAGGAUGUUGGCUUAGAAGCAGCCAUCAUUUAAAGAAAGCGUAAUAGCUCACUGGUCGAGUCGGCCUGCGCGGAAGAUGUAACGGGGCUAAACCAUGCACCGAAGCUGCGGCAGCGACACUAUGUGUUGUUGGGUAGGGGAGCGUUCUGUAAGCCUGUGAAGGUGUGCUGUGAGGCAUGCUGGAGGUAUCAGAAGUGCGAAUGCUGACAUAAGUAACGAUAAAGCGGGUGAAAAGCCCGCUCGCCGGAAGACCAAGGGUUCCUGUCCAACGUUAAUCGGGGCAGGGUGAGUCGACCCCUAAGGCGAGGCCGAAAGGCGUAGUCGAUGGGAAACAGGUUAAUAUUCCUGUACUUGGUGUUACUGCGAAGGGGGGACGGAGAAGGCUAUGUUGGCCGGGCGACGGUUGUCCCGGUUUAAGCGUGUAGGCUGGUUUUCCAGGCAAAUCCGGAAAAUCAAGGCUGAGGCGUGAUGACGAGGCACUACGGUGCUGAAGCAACAAAUGCCCUGCU